Molecule: ribosomal RNA, 577 nt
Filed under: uncultured Gammaproteobacteria bacterium
Lineage: Bacteria; Pseudomonadati; Pseudomonadota; Gammaproteobacteria
Description: bacterial SSU rRNA
Rfam family: Bacterial small subunit ribosomal RNA
Source: RNAcentral
GGCGGACGGGUGAGUAACGCGUAGGAAUCUACCUGGUAGUGGGGGACAACUCGGGGAAACUCGAGCUAAUACCGCAUACGCCCUGAGGGGGAAAGCGGGGGAUCUUCGGACCUCGUGCUAUCAGAUGAGCCUGCGUUGGAUUAGCUAGUUGGUGGGGUAAAGGCCUACCAAGGCGACGAUCCAUAGCUGGUCUGAGAGGAUGAUCAGCCACACCGGGACUGAGACACGGCCCGGACUCCUACGGGAGGCAGCAGUGGGGAAUAUUGCGCAAUGGGCGGAAGCCUGACGCAGCCAUGCCGCGUGUGUGAAGAAGGCCUUCGGGUUGUAAAGCACUUUCACUUGGGAAGAAAGGUUUGCGGUUAAUACCCGCAAGCUGUGACAUUACCUUGAGAAGAAGCACCGGCUAACUCCGUGCCAGCAGCCGCGGUAAUACGGAGGGUGCGAGCGUUAAUCGGAAUUACUGGGCGUAAAGCGCGCGUAGGCGGUUUGUUAAGUCGGAUGUGAAAGCCCCGGGCUCAACCUGGGAAUUGCACCCGAUACUGGCCGACUAGAGUACGAGAGAGGGAGGUAGAAUUCC